GAAAAGGAAAACCGUUUGCUGCUGGGUCGGGGAAAGGAUAAGCACAGGAAUAUAUAGCAAUAGAGAGAGCUUGUGUUGUGUCUGUUUUAUUUUGCCAUGUUUUGUAUGGCCUCCCGUUUGCCGUGGAUUUGUCUGCUCGGAGUUUCAGCUUGGUGUGAGUCUCUCGGAAAGCAAAAUCUUUACAAAAAAAAAAAAUUUGAGAUGGCGUUUUUUUAAAACCACUUUGAAAGCGAUUAAAAGCAACUCAACACUCAUCCAUCAUCAUCUACUUAUCACAAUCUCAACACCCACCACCACAGAACACCUUGUUGGCGAUGGAUCAAUCCCGUGGUUGCUUGUUUACACGAGGGCACAACACAACAGUCGCGAGAUCAUCAUCCGCAUUACGAUCAUCGCGAGAUCAAGAUUAGUGCGCUGCUGGUGUGAGGUGAAUGUGUGUGCGUGUGAGAGUGAGAGGAAGAGAGACCAAAGGGAGAAACGAGCGAACGAUCGAUAGAGGAGCAACGAUGAAGUUGUGAAGGGCUGAAUUCCAGCAGUGCACCGGUUAAGGGCCCUUUGGUUGGGUGCAAAUUGCCUCAAAUACGCACUCAAUUUAGAUGAAAAUAGAUAUGCUCGCGCAGUGAAACCGAUGCGUCGCGAUAGAGGAGAAAACGCGAAGCAGGAAGAAAAUGGAGAAUGCCGCGGUACCAUGGUACUGUGUGCUGCUUGGGAAAUUGUUAGGGUUACGAGCACAGUAGGCAUUGGGUUGGGUUUGCUAGGGAAACAAGGGUGACACAGAAAUUGUUUUUUCACUGGUAAAAUAUUGUAGUUGGUUGUAAAUUACAUGUAAAAAUAACUCUUUUGUACCCACAAAUCGGAAGGCGACAAAUAUCUGCUCAAUAAGUCAUGCAAGGCACGCACGCGAACCUACUUCUUCGAGAGAGGCUUUGGGUCUCAUUCAUCGCUGAAAUCCUGAUGAGAGGUCUUCGUCAUAUCGCUCUAACUUGUUGAGGAUUGUUUGUCAAAAGAUGACCCGCUUUCAAGUACCGGAGUAAUCGGAUCGUGAAGUUAUAAGUCCUGUUGAUAGAACUUCCUUUGACCAAAAGGCCCUAUCAGUUUUGAUAUGAUUGCUCCAUCCAAUCGAACAAUUCUCCCGGAGGCCGCUGAACACACGGUCGUCAAAGUGGAUACCGGUGCACGCUCAACAAACACUGCCCGCCGAGCAGUUACAUUCGAGAACCUUCAACCGGUGGCAAUGAGAGGAUGGAUUCUGGCACGGAUGAGGUAAUGGCAUCCCGAAUGUGCCAUCGCCGUCUUCGGCGAAGGCCGACAACGAUGAUCCACUCACGACGACUGACUCACGUCCCUUUCCACCAGGCGGGACCAGUGUAUGCUUUGCACCACAGGGUCAUAAUUCGACUGCACUAAGAGCUCAGCUCGUCCAUGACCAUGGUGUAAGGAAGCUAGGUCUUGUGGGGGUCCCGUGUGCGACAGGUAGCUAGAAAGCUGCACCAUACAACGUCGUACGCAUCUGGCCGCUAACUCGGCACGGGAAGCAGCUACAAAAUGACAUGUAAAUAAAAUUACAAUAAUUAAUUUUACCCUUUCAGUAGGCAAAUGCGCUCGGCCGUUGGCAUCUUUGAUGAGCUCUGUCAAGGGAAGAAAGAUUCUUCAUCUCGUCGCGGAGAUGUGAGUGAAAAUGUGCGUCUUUUCCAUCCCUUAACUUCCAUAUCUGUCGAGAGUGGAAAAGCUCAUCUAAUUCGCGAAACCCGUUGCAGUUUCGUUGCGUUCCGCCGCACGCUGCCUUCCGUGCCUUAUCUUGUUCGCCAUGUGGUGAAACGCGGCACAGAUAGCGGUCUGUCCGUGUGUUUCGCACAGACUCGGGCAAACUGCAACCAGCCAGCCAGCCAGCCAGCCGGGCCACGUCACGCGCCGUACUAUCGUGUUCUGUUGGCGGCAUUCUUUAUCUGUUUUUGCCCACCGUACACAUCGACGACGACGGCGGCCACAUUCGAGACGUCAUAAUAUACCGUCCAUACUUUGCUGUUGCUGCUGGCGAAGUUCACUUGCUGUCUGUCUCGUUCUCCGCUCGUUUUAUUUUUUUUUGUUGCACGGUUCGUUUGAACGGUUGAAGCUUGGCUGGCCGAGAGUUUGCGCUGGAAAUUGCAACUGCACCGUAGCUUAAAAGCAAUUUACAUCCUCGCCACACGGUGUCGGUGCUCAAUGGUUGUUCUCAGGGACAGGAACAGCCCUUGGAAUGGUAGUUGCAAGGGUUAGGCUUGUACCGUCCACCGCUUCUUCAGUUGCGUGCGAAUGUUAGGAACGUUGAUGGCGGAGGGUGAUGAUGGCGAAGAAUUUACAGUGAUGAACUUGCCUGUAGCUUAUUUGGUCACCUCU
Molecule: long non-coding RNA, 2376 nt
Organism: Anopheles stephensi (Asian malaria mosquito)
Lineage: Eukaryota; Metazoa; Arthropoda; Insecta; Diptera; Culicidae
Exons: 3
Source: RefSeq, a predicted model, not a curated record